RNAcentral lists this ribosomal RNA (615 nucleotides) under uncultured bacterium. Its description in RNAcentral is "bacterial SSU rRNA". It matches the Rfam family "Bacterial small subunit ribosomal RNA", at positions 60 to 667 of the family's 1533-position model. The record is from RNAcentral.
CGUCGAGCGGAAACGAUCCUACCUUGCUAGGAGGCGUCGAGCGGCGGACGGGUGAGUAACACGUGAGAAUCUGCCCAUUAGAGGGGGAUAACCUGGGGAAACCCAGGCUAAUACCGCAUAAUCCCUACGGGGGAAAGCAGGGGAUCUUCGGACCUUGUGCUGAUGGAUGAGCUCGCGUCGGAUUAGCUUGUUGGUGAGGUAAUGGCUCACCAAGGCGACGAUCCGUAGCUGGUCUUAGAGGAUGAUCAGCCACACCGGGACUGAGACACGGCCCGGACUCCUACGGGAGGCAGCAGUGGGGAAUCUUGGACAAUGGGGGCAACCCUGAUCCAGCCAUGCCGCGUGUGUGAAGAAGGCCUUCGGGUUGUAAAGCACUUUCAGUAGGGAGGAAGGCUUAUCCUUAAUACGGAUGAGUACUUGACGUUACCUACAGAAGAAGCACCGGCUAAUUUCGUGCCAGCAGCCGCGGUAAUACGAAAGGUGCGAGCGUUAAUCGGAAUUACUAGGCGUAAAGCGCGCGUAGGCGGUUUGCUAAGUCAGAUGUGAAAGCCCCGGGCUCAACCUGGGAACUGCAUUUGAAACUGGCAGGCUAGAAUGCAGUAGAGGAGGUGGAAU